CAGCAGCCGCCGCGGUAAUACGAAGGGUGCAAGCGUUAAUCGGAAUUACUGGGCGUAAAGCGCGCGUAGGUGGUUUGGUAAGAUGGAUGUGAAAUCCCCGGGCUCAACCUGGGAACUGCAUCCAUAACUGCCUGACUAGAGUACGGUAGAGGGUGGUGGAAUUUCCUGUGUAGCGGUGAAAUGCGUAGAUAUAGGAAGGAACACCAGUGGCGAAGGCGACCACCUGGACUGAUACUGACACUGAGGUGCGAAAGCGUGGGGAGCAAACAGGAUUAGAUACCCGUGUAGUCCCUGUCUCUUAUAC
This 304-nucleotide ribosomal RNA is filed under the name uncultured bacterium. RNAcentral describes it as "partial 16S ribosomal RNA". It matches the Rfam family "Bacterial small subunit ribosomal RNA", at positions 506 to 807 of the family's 1533-position model. The record is from RNAcentral.